GGAACUUGUAGGGAACGUCCCAGAUCAUUCCUUUAGGAACAUUUACAGGUUUAUUCCCUAGAGGAACUUGUAGGGCACACUCAGGACCUUCCAGACCAUUCCUUUAGGAACAUUUAUAGGUGUUUUAGGGCCAUUUACAGGUUUAUCCCUAGAGGAACUUGUAGGGCACACUGAGGACAUCCCAGAGCACUCCUUUAGGAACAUUUACAGGUUUUUUGGAAACAUUUACAGGUUUAUCUCUAGAGGAACUUGUAGGGCACACCCCAGAGCACUCCUUUAGGAACAUUUACAGGUUUUCCAGGACCAUUUUCAGGUUUUUUGGAAACAUUUACAGGUUUAUUCCUAGAGGAACUUGUAGGGCACAUCCCAGAUCAUUCCUUUAGGAAGAUUUAAAGGUUUUUCAGGACCAUUUACAGGUUUAUCCCUAGAAGAACUUGUAGGGCACACUGAGGACAUCCCAGAGCACUCCUUUAGGAACAUUUACAGGUUUAUUCCUGGAGGUACGUGUAAGGUACACCCCAGAUCCCUCCUUUAGGACCAUUUGCAGGUUUU
Long non-coding RNA from Melospiza georgiana, 552 nucleotides. RefSeq lists it as uncharacterized. The transcript has 3 exons. The record is from RefSeq and is a predicted model, not a curated record. Lineage: Eukaryota; Metazoa; Chordata; Aves; Passeriformes; Passerellidae.